UGCCAAUGCGCGGCUACCAUGCAGUCGAGCGGUAGCACAGAGAGCUUGCUCUCGGGUGACGAGCGGCGGACGGGUGAGUAAUGUCUGGGAAACUGCCUGAUGGAGGGGGAUAACUACUGGAAACGGUAGCUAAUACCGCAUAACGUCGCAAGACCAAAGUGGGGGACCUUCGGGCCUCAUGCCAUCAGAUGUGCCCAGAUGGGAUUAGCUAGUAGGUGGGGUAACGGCUCACCUAGGCGACGAUCCCUAGCUGGUCUGAGAGGAUGACCAGCCACACUGGAACUGAGACACGGUCCAGACUCCUACGGGAGGCAGCAGUGGGGAAUAUUGCACAAUGGGCGCAAGCCUGAUGCAGCCAUGCCGCGUGUGUGAAGAAGGCCUUCGGGUUGUAAAGUACUUUCAGCGGGGAGGAAGGCGAUAAGGUUAAUAACCUUGUCGAUUGACGUUACCCGCAGAAGAAGCACCGGCUAACUCCGUGCCAGCAGCGGCCGGUAAUAA
RNAcentral lists this ribosomal RNA (498 nucleotides) under Klebsiella pneumoniae. RNAcentral's name for it is "bacterial SSU rRNA". It matches the Rfam family "Bacterial small subunit ribosomal RNA", at positions 39 to 526 of the family's 1533-position model. Lineage: Bacteria; Pseudomonadati; Pseudomonadota; Gammaproteobacteria; Enterobacterales; Enterobacteriaceae. The record is from RNAcentral.